UACCAGCACCCCGAGUGGUCGGGACGAUUAUUGGGCCUAAAGCAUCCGUAGCCGGUUUUCCAAGUCCUCCGUUAAAUCCAGCUGCUUAACAGAUGGGCUGCGGAGGAUACUAUAAGACUAGGAGGCAGGAGAGGCAAGCGGUACUCAGUGGGUAGGGGUAAAAUCCGUUGAUCCAUUGAAGACCACCAGUGGCGAAGGCGGCUUGCCAGAAUGCGCUCGACGGUGAGGGAUGAAAGCUGGGGGAGCAAACCGG
This 253-nucleotide ribosomal RNA is filed under the name uncultured bacterium. RNAcentral describes it as "partial 16S ribosomal RNA". It matches the Rfam family "Archaeal small subunit ribosomal RNA", at positions 474 to 727 of the family's 1478-position model. The record is from RNAcentral.